ACGUCAAGUCCUCAUGGCCCUUACGGGCUGGGCUACACACGUGCUACAAUGGCGGUGACAAUGGGCAGCGAAGGGGCGACCCGGAGCCAAUCCCCAAAAGCCGUCUCAGUUCGGAUUGCACUCUGCAACUCGAGUGCAUGAAGUUGGAAUCGCUAGUAAUCGCGGAUCAGCAUGCCGCGGUGAAUACGUUCCCGGGCCUU
This 200-nucleotide ribosomal RNA is filed under the name uncultured organism. Its description in RNAcentral is "partial small subunit ribosomal RNA". It matches the Rfam family "Bacterial small subunit ribosomal RNA", at positions 1182 to 1382 of the family's 1533-position model. The record is from RNAcentral.